This 74-nucleotide transfer RNA is filed under the name Parcubacteria group bacterium. Its description in RNAcentral is "tRNA-Ala". It matches the Rfam family "tRNA". From Rfam's summary of the family: Transfer RNA (tRNA) molecules are approximately 80 nucleotides in length. Their secondary structure includes four short double-helical elements and three loops (D, anti-codon, and T loops). The record is from RNAcentral.
GGGCUCAUAGUAUAGCGGUAAUACGCAUCCAUGGCAUGGAUGAGUUCGGGGUUCAACUCCCCGUGAGUCCACCA